CCUACGGGUGGCAGCAGUGGGGAAUAUUGCACAAUGGGGGAAACCCUGAUGCAGCGACGCCGCGUGAGUGAAGAAGUAAUUCGUUAUGUAAAGCUCUAUCAGCAGGGAAGAAGAUGACGGUACCUGAGUAAGAAGCCCCGGCUAACUACUGGCCAGCAGCCGCGGUAAUACGUAGGGGGCACGCGUUAUGCGGAUUGACUGGGUGUAAAGGGAGCGUAGACGGCAGUGCAAGUCUGGAGUGAAAGGCGGGGGCUCAACCCCCGGACUGCUCUGGAGACUGGACGGCUGGAGUGCAGGAGAGGUAAGUGGAAUUCCUGGUGUAGCGGUGAAAUGCGUAGAUAUUAGGAGGAAUACCAGUGGCGAAGGCGGCUUACUGGACUGGAACUGACGUUGAGGCUCGAAAGCGUGGGGAGCAAACAGGAUUAGAUACCCGUGUAGUC
Molecule: ribosomal RNA, 440 nt
Filed under: uncultured bacterium
Lineage: Bacteria
Description: partial 16S ribosomal RNA
Rfam family: Bacterial small subunit ribosomal RNA
Source: RNAcentral